Molecule: ribosomal RNA, 706 nt
Filed under: Chiodecton sphaerale
Lineage: Eukaryota; Fungi; Ascomycota; Arthoniomycetes; Arthoniales; Roccellaceae
Description: SSU rRNA
Rfam family: Eukaryotic small subunit ribosomal RNA
Source: RNAcentral
GUUAUCGUUUAUUUGAUAGUACCCUACUACUUGGAUAACCGUGGUAAUUCUAGAGCUAAUACAUGCCAAAAACCCCGACUCCGGAAGGGGUGUAUUUAUUAGAUAAAAAGCCAACGCCGUUCGGGGCUCCGUGGUGAUUCAUGAUAACUCUACGAACCGCAUGGCCUUGCGCCGGCGGUGGUUCAUUCAAAUUUCUGCCCUAUCAACUUUCGAUUGUUGGGUAUUGGCCAACAAUGGUUACGACGGGUGACGGGGAAUUAGGGUUCGAUUCCGGAGAGGGAGCCUGAGAAACGGCUACCACAUCCAAGGAAGGCAGCAGGCGCGCAAAUUACCCAAUCCCGACGCGGGGAGGUAGUGACAAUAAAUACUGAUACAGGGCUCUUUUGGGUCUUGUAAUUGGAAUGAGUACAAUUUAAAUACCUUAACGAGGAACAAUUGGAGGGCAAGUCUGGUGCCAGCAGCCGCGGUAAUUCCAGCUCCAAUAGCGUAUAUUAAAGUUGUUGCAGUUAAAAAGCUCGUAGUUGAACCUUGGCCCGGGCUGGCCGGUCCGCCUCACCGCGUGCACUGGUGCGGCCUGGGCUUUCCUCCUGGGGAUCCGCAUGGCCUUCGCUGGUCGUGUCGGGGAACCAGGACUUUUACUUUGAAAAAAUUAGAGUGUUCAAAGCAGGAUCCGCUCGAAUACAUUAGCAUGGAAUAAUGGAAUAGG